UAAUCCACUCCAUUACAACUUCAAGGAGAUAGGAUUAGUUACUUCUAUCUGCUCCACUGCAAUGUCAGGGAAGUAAGAUCCGCCGUUGUGGCUUCAAUCUUUUUAAUUGCAAUGUUAGGAAAACUAGAUCCGCCGUCGUAGCUUCAAUCUAUUCCAUUGCACUGCUAAGGAAGUAAGAUCCGCCGUUUUGGCUUCAAUCUUUUUAAUUGCAAUAUUAGGGAAACCAGAUCCGCCGUCGUAGCUUCAAUCUGUUCUACUGCAUUGCUAAGGAAGUAAGAUCCGCCGUUGUGACUUUAAUCCUUUUGAUUGCAAUAUCAGGGAAACCAGAUCUGCCGUCAUAGCUUCAAUUUGUUCCACUGCACUGCUAAGGAAGUAAGAUCCGCCGUUGUGACUUCAAUAUUUUUGAUUGCAAUAUCAGGGAAACCAGAUCCGUCGUCGUAGCUUCAAUCUGUUCCACUGCACUGCUAAGGAAGUAAGAUCCGCUGUUGUGGCUUUAAUCUUUUUAAUUGCAAUAUUAGGGAAACCAGAUCCGUCGUCGUAGCUUCAAUUUGUUCUACUGCACUGCUAAGGAAGUAGAAUUACUGCUUCAAUGUACUCCACUGUAACCACAGGGAGGUAAAAUCUGCCAUCUUCGAUCUGCUCCACUACUGC
This 651-nucleotide long non-coding RNA is filed under the name Gossypium barbadense (sea-island cotton). Its description in RNAcentral is "long non-coding RNA (GBAR_LNC019848)". Lineage: Eukaryota; Viridiplantae; Streptophyta; Magnoliopsida; Malvales; Malvaceae. The record is from RNAcentral.